Molecule: ribosomal RNA, 2673 nt
Filed under: Staphylococcus aureus
Lineage: Bacteria; Bacillati; Bacillota; Bacilli; Caryophanales; Staphylococcaceae
Description: partial 23S ribosomal RNA
Rfam family: Bacterial large subunit ribosomal RNA
Source: RNAcentral
UAAGGGCGCACGGUGGAUGCCUUGGCACUAGAAGCCGAUGAAGGACGUUACUAACGACGAUAUGCUUUGGGGAGCUGUAAGUAAGCUUUGAUCCAGAGAUUUCCGAAUGGGGAAACCCAGCAUGAGUUAUGUCAUGUUAUCGAUAUGUGAAUACAUAGCAUAUCAGAAGGCACACCCGGAGAACUGAAACAUCUUAGUACCCGGAGGAAGAGAAAGAAAAUUCGAUUCCCUUAGUAGCGGCGAGCGAAACGGGAAGAGCCCAAACCAACAAGCUUGCUUGUUGGGGUUGUAGGACACUCUAUACGGAGUUACAAAGGACGACAUUAGACGAAUCAUCUGGAAAGAUGAAUCAAAGAAGGUAAUAAUCCUGUAGUCGAAAAUGUUGUCUCUCUUGAGUGGAUCCUGAGUACGACGGAGCACGUGAAAUUCCGUCGGAAUCUGGGAGGACCAUCUCCUAAGGCUAAAUACUCUCUAGUGACCGAUAGUGAACCAGUACCGUGAGGGAAAGGUGAAAAGCACCCCGGAAGGGGAGUGAAAUAGAACCUGAAACCGUGUGCUUACAAGUAGUCAGAGCCCGUUAAUGGGUGAUGGCGUGCCUUUUGUAGAAUGAACCGGCGAGUUACGAUUUGAUGCAAGGUUAAGCAGUAAAUGUGGAGCCGUAGCGAAAGCGAGUCUGAAUAGGGCGUUUAGUAUUUGGUCGUAGACCCGAAACCAGGUGAUCUACCCUUGGUCAGGUUGAAGUUCAGGUAACACUGAAUGGAGGACCGAACCGACUUACGUUGAAAAGUGAGCGGAUGAACUGAGGGUAGCGGAGAAAUUCCAAUCGAACCUGGAGAUAGCUGGUUCUCUCCGAAAUAGCUUUAGGGCUAGCCUCAAGUGAUGAUUAUUGGAGGUAGAGCACUGUUUGGACGAGGGGCCCCUCUCGGGUUACCGAAUUCAGACAAACUCCGAAUGCCAAUUAAUUUAACUUGGGAGUCAGAACAUGGGUGAUAAGGUCCGUGUUCGAAAGGGAAACAGCCCAGACCACCAGCUAAGGUCCCAAAAUAUAUGUUAAGUGGAAAAGGAUGUGGCGUUGCCCAGACAACUAGGAUGUUGGCUUAGAAGCAGCCAUCAUUUAAAGAGUGCGUAAUAGCUCACUAGUCGAGUGACACUGCGCCGAAAAUGUACCGGGGCUAAACAUAUUACCGAAGCUGUGGAUUGUCCUUUGGACAAUGGUAGGAGAGCGUUCUAAGGGCGUUGAAGCAUGAUCGUAAGGACAUGUGGAGCGCUUAGAAGUGAGAAUGCCGGUGUGAGUAGCGAAAGACGGGUGAGAAUCCCGUCCACCGAUUGACUAAGGUUUCCAGAGGAAGGCUCGUCCGCUCUGGGUUAGUCGGGUCCUAAGCUGAGGCCGACAGGCGUAGGCGAUGGAUAACAGGUUGAUAUUCCUGUACCACCUAUAAUCGUUUUAAUCGAUGGGGGGACGCAGUAGGAUAGGCGAAGCGUGCGAUUGGAUUGCACGUCUAAGCAGUAAGGCUGAGUAUUAGGCAAAUCCGGUACUCAUUAAGGCUGAGCUGUGAUGGGGAGAAGACAUUGUGUCUUCGAGUCGUUGAUUUCACACUGCCGAGAAAAGCCUCUAGAUAGAAAAUAGGUGCCCGUACCGCAAACCGACACAGGUAGUCAAGAUGAGAAUUCUAAGGUGAGCGAGCGAACUCUCGUUAAGGAACUCGGCAAAAUGACCCCGUAACUUCGGGAGAAGGGGUGCUCUUUAGGGUUAACGCCCAGAAGAGCCGCAGUGAAUAGGCCCAAGCGACUGUUUAUCAAAAACACAGGUCUCUGCUAAACCGUAAGGUGAUGUAUAGGGGCUGACGCCUGCCCGGUGCUGGAAGGUUAAGAGGAGUGGUUAGCUUCUGCGAAGCUACGAAUCGAAGCCCCAGUAAACGGCGGCCGUAACUAUAACGGUCCUAAGGUAGCGAAAUUCCUUGUCGGGUAAGUUCCGACCCGCACGAAAGGCGUAACGAUUUGGGCACUGUCUCAACGAGAGACUCGGUGAAAUCAUAGUACCUGUGAAGAUGCAGGUUACCCGCGACAGGACGGAAAGACCCCGUGGAGCUUUACUGUAGCCUGAUAUUGAAAUUCGGCACAGCUUGUACAGGAUAGGUAGGAGCCUUUGAAACGUGAGCGCUAGCUUACGUGGAGGCGCUGGUGGGAUACUACCCUAGCUGUGUUGGCUUUCUAACCCGCACCACUUAUCGUGGUGGGAGACAGUGUCAGGCGGGCAGUUUGACUGGGGCGGUCGCCUCCUAAAAGGUAACGGAGGCGCUCAAAGGUUCCCUCAGAAUGGUUGGAAAUCAUUCAUAGAGUGUAAAGGCAUAAGGGAGCUUGACUGCGAGACCUACAAGUCGAGCAGGGUCGAAAGACGGACUUAGUGAUCCGGUGGUUCCGCAUGGAAGGGCCAUCGCUCAACGGAUAAAAGCUACCCCGGGGAUAACAGGCUUAUCUCCCCCAAGAGUUCACAUCGACGGGGAGGUUUGGCACCUCGAUGUCGGCUCAUCGCAUCCUGGGGCUGUAGUCGGUCCCAAGGGUUGGGCUGUUCGCCCAUUAAAGCGGUACGCGAGCUGGGUUCAGAACGUCGUGAGACAGUUCGGUCCCUAUCCGUCGUGGGCGUAGGAAAUUUGAGAGGAGCUGUCCUUAGUA